RNAcentral lists this ribosomal RNA (460 nucleotides) under uncultured bacterium. Its description in RNAcentral is "partial 16S ribosomal RNA". It matches the Rfam family "Bacterial small subunit ribosomal RNA", at positions 338 to 795 of the family's 1533-position model. The record is from RNAcentral.
CCUACGGGUGGCAGCAGUGAGGAAUAUUGGUCAAUGGACGCGAGUCUGAACCAGCCAAGUAGCGUGAAGGAUGACUGCCCUAUGGGUUGUAAACUUCUUUUAUAUGGGAAUAAAAUGUUCCACGUGUGGGAUUUCGUGUGUACCCUAUGAAUAAGCAUCGGCUAACUCCGUGCCAGCAGCCGCGGUAAUACGGAGGAUCCGAGCGUUAUCCGGAUUUCUUGGGUUUAAAGGGAGCGUAGGUGGGUUGUUAAGUCAGUUGUAAAAGUUUGGGGCUCAACCGUAAAAUUGCAGUUGAAACUGGCAGUCUGGAGUACAGUAGAGGUGGGCGGAAUGCGUGGUGUAGCGGUGAAAUGCUUAGAUAUCACGAAGAACUCCGAUUGCGAAGGCAGUGCACUGGACUGAAACUGACACUGAGGCACGAAAGUGUGGGUAUCAAACAGGAUUAGAUACCCUAGUAGUC